AUUGCCUAAUAUAUGCCCAAAGGGAACAAUGGAUUUCAUUAAUGGAAAUCAACAUAAUUAAAAAGAACAUAUUUGUUUUUUCAGAUCACAUCCUUAAAAGUGAUUUCUUACAUAAGGAAGAUAAUAUUAUCAGCUCUACCUCAAAGGUAAUUUUUUUUUAAAUAUAUUUUUCUAGUAUAAAAAAAUCGUCACAAAAAGUAUUAGUGUUACUCAUAUAAGCUUUAUUUAUACCUAAUACUUAUUAAAUUAGGUAGGUAUGUGUGUAAAACUAUUUUUUUACUAGGAUUUCUGAUGCACUGGUUAAAAACACAGCAGCCGAUAAUUUAGUUAAUUUAAGUGAUUUACCCUUCAAAGCUGCAGGGAUAGUUUUCCUGAAGAGUGCAAAAACUUCUUUAGCUUCUAAAAUGGUAUAUAGUACAAACAGUGAAGCUAAUAUAGACAAAUCUGAUUAUUCAUCAUCAACAAUAACUGCAUCUGAGCUUAAUAGUUACCGUGGGGUCUAGGUCAACAAUUACUAUUUCUCAUCCAAGCCGUUUUUGUUUAACUGCUACACAUUCCCUGAUUCUGUCAAGGAAAAGGGUAAAAUCAAAAUGAUAUCCUGAGGACCUAAGCACUGAUGAUUCAUCAAAUUAUGGGAAAAAAAAAAAAAGAACAAAAAAUUUUAAUUCGAAGAUUGCAACAAACAAAUUUUCGCCAAAGAUAUUGAAUUAGAUUUCUCAAGUCAUUAUUAAAAUACUUAAGAAAUAAUAACAUGAUUUUCGAAAAAUCCCAACAUACUACAUAUUUGAUUUGACUUGUAAAAGUACUUGUUUGUAUAUUACUACUAAUAAACUAUCUAAUCUAAUCCAUUGUCUUUAUUCGUAGGUAAGCUUUGUUUUUUAGUAUAAAUUAAUAUGAUAUAAUACUUGGUAUUAGGUAUUAUAUAGGUCACUGUUAAAUGUCUCAAAAACCAUUGUACAGGCUAAAUACUCAUAAUAAAAAUCUUCUAACCUAUAAAAAACCUGCAACUCCUUCACAAUUUGAACAUCCUUGUAGUUUUAACUCUUUCCGCUGAAGCAAUACUGUCCCUUUGAAAAAGUCAGCACCAUAGAAGUAUAUAUUAUGUGAUUUAAAGUAAGUGAUGUAAAACUGAGUUUUGUAUAAUAUAAUAAUUAUAAUAAAAUUUUGCAAAAUGUUAAAAAUUUGUGUCUUAAAACAUGAUUUAUUAAGAAAUCUAUAAUUUUAUAUUAAUAAAAUAUUUUAUUUCCAUAAAAAUGCCUUGACAAAAAUGCUGCCUUUUAUUAGGACCUUCCUCUAACGAAGUCCGUUAAAAAAACACAUAAAUAGCUCAUAAAUGGUAAUAUUACUUAUAUUUAAACUCUAUAAUAAUUCAUAAAAAUUUAUCAGGUAAAUAUUUGUUGACGACGUCACUGGUAGAGAGUGCUUGUAUCGGUGGCAUCAACAAUGCGAUCGAGCGGCGUUGCGGUGCCAUUACCGUUUUCUCGUUGCUUCGUACUUUAUUUUCAUUUAUUUAACGUAUAUUGACUUCGAUAUAGAGUAUCUUAUCAAAUUUAUUUUAAAAAAAUGCUUGAUAUUUUAUUAAAGGGGAGCAGUAGUAUUGUUUUGAGCCUUCGGAAACAACUGAAAAUUUUUAUGAUAUUAUAAAGUGAUUCUUGCCAUUUCUCUAUAAGCAUUUGGCAUCAUUGCAUCAGAGAUGUUGCAAGCAAACAAACCUGCCCAUAGUUCCACGGCAUGCUACUUCUAGCCUUUCAAUGUUCUAAGAAGAAAACAAUGUCGUCAGUCUUUUUUGUUUGUUAUGGAAUUGAUUUCUUAUUACGAUUUUCAAAUUCUCCGAGUUAAAAUACGUCGAUUGGCUAUCUUCAAUUUUUUUAAAUAUACCGGAAAAGUCAAAAAAUAUGCUGUUUUUCCUCUUAAAUGGAACACCCUGUACUUACUUACUAAGGCACUAUUAAGGUUGAGUAUGUUUAUAGAACUCUAGGACUUACCGCAAUUUAAAAUCCAACGUUCGCAAAUACUUGGAUUUUUAUAAGGAAAUUUAAACAUCUUUAACGUAGGAUUCUCUCUUCUAGUUCGCCUAAAUAACAGAAUUACGUCCGUCACAAGAGCGAAUAACAAAAAUAAUAUUGUGUUGCUCAGCCGAGUCGCAGCCGUCGAAUUAAAUUUCGCAACACAGCCAAGCGAUCGGCCAGAUUUCAACGCGUAAUUUCACCGAUGGAUCCUCGCUCGAAAAGCGGGGAUCCUUUUAGGUGGUCAAAAAAUUUACACGGGAUGGAUUUUCUAUAGUUUACUAUUAUUUUCUUUGGUUUGGGGUAAUUUUUUGUGUUGGAGGUGAUUUUCCUUAUACAAAAGAGAGCAAUUUGAAUAAUUCAAAACAUGGCAUUCUUUAAAAUCGUCGUUAUUAAAAGUUAGUCGCUAUUCGCGACUUUUACUGUAUACUAGAGAGUUGUGGGACUACUAAGGCUUC
Molecule: long non-coding RNA, 2464 nt
Organism: Anthonomus grandis grandis
Lineage: Eukaryota; Metazoa; Arthropoda; Insecta; Coleoptera; Curculionidae
Exons: 3
Source: RefSeq, a predicted model, not a curated record